GAGUUUUUGUUUUAUUUAACUCCCUAAGAACUGGAAUGUCGUCUGUGUGUUGGGCCUGAUAAAACUAGUUUGUUUAUAUCCAAGCAAGAGUAAAGAUCCAGCCGGGUGGCGGUGGCAGUGCACGCUUUUAAUCCCAGCACUCGGGAGGCAGAGACAGGCGGAUCUCUAUGUAUUUUACCUCAUAGAUGCUGUAGGUGGUAGUGUGUGCCGGCUCUAACUCCCAGGAUUGAGGAGGCUGAGACUGAAGAGUUAACCUGGACCACACUGUGACAGCGAUCAGUAAAACCUCUGCCUGGUGGCCUGAUGCCCCUGCUUCCCAGCUGAUGAGCCACCAGUUUCCUUGCCAGGAGCUGCUGGAGGCCUGUAGGACCUGGUUUGGACAAACUGAGACCACCCACACAGAUGGCACAGACCAUCCAGAGGAAAUUCCUAACAUUGCAACCAUUAUAGAGAGGAUCACCUGCCAGCACACCAGGACACUCUAGACAAAUGUCGGCCAAUCAGGGUUCCUAAACCUUAGAAAUCCCUCACCCCUACCUUUGCUACUAUAAAGACCCAACUCUAACUGAGCUUGGGGCCUUCUAAUCACUC
Long non-coding RNA from Chionomys nivalis (European snow vole), 591 nucleotides. RefSeq lists it as uncharacterized. The transcript has 4 exons. NCBI's taxonomy places the organism in Eukaryota, Metazoa, Chordata, Mammalia, Rodentia, Cricetidae. The record is from RefSeq and is a predicted model, not a curated record.